RNAcentral lists this signal recognition particle RNA (299 nucleotides) under Saimiri boliviensis boliviensis (Bolivian squirrel monkey). Its description in RNAcentral is "Metazoan signal recognition particle RNA (ENSSBOG00000002161.1)". It matches the Rfam family "Metazoan signal recognition particle RNA". Rfam says of the family: The signal recognition particle (SRP) is a universally conserved ribonucleoprotein. It is involved in the co-translational targeting of proteins to membranes. The record is from RNAcentral. Lineage: Eukaryota; Metazoa; Chordata; Mammalia; Primates; Cebidae.
GCCAGGCGCAGUGGUGCAUGCGUCUAGUCCCAGCUAUUCGGGAGGCUGAGAUGGGAGGAUCGCUUGAGCCCAGGAGCUCUGGGCUGUAGUGCGCUAUGCCAAUCGGGUGUCCACACUAAGUUCGGCAUCAAUAUGGUGACCUCCCAGGAGCGGGGGACCACCAGGUUGCCUAAGGAGAGGUGAAUCGGCACAGGUCAGAAAUGGAGCAGGUCAAACUCCCAUGCUGAUCAGUAGUGGGAUCACGCCUGUGAAUAGCCACUGCACUCCAGCCUGGGCAAACAUAGUGAGACCUUGCCUCU